This 513-nucleotide ribosomal RNA is filed under the name uncultured bacterium. RNAcentral describes it as "bacterial SSU rRNA". It matches the Rfam family "Bacterial small subunit ribosomal RNA", at positions 15 to 518 of the family's 1533-position model. The record is from RNAcentral.
GAUCAUGGCUCAGGAUGAACGCUAGCUACAGGCUUAACACAUGCAAGUCGAGGGGCAGCAUUGGGAUAGCUGCUAUUCAGAUGGCGACCGGCGCACGGGUGAGUAACGCGUAUCCAACCUUCCUGCCAGUAGGGAACAGCCCGGCGAAAGUCGGAUUAAUGCCCUAUGUUCUUCAAUGCGGACAUCUAAGUUGAAGGAAAGAUUCAUCGCUGGCAGAUGGGGAUGCGUCCGAUUAGCUUGCCGGCGGGGUAACGGCCCACCGGGGCGACGAUCGGUAGGGGUUCUGAGAGGAAGGUCCCCCACACUGGUACUGAGACACGGACCAAACUCCUACGGGAGGCAGCAGUGAGGAAUAUUGGUCAAUGGGCGCGAGCCUGAACCAGCCAAGUAGCCGUGCAGGAUGACGGCCCUAUGGGUUGUAAACUGCUUUUAUGCGGGGAUAAAGUGACGUACGUGUACGUUUUUGUAGGUACCGCAUGAAUAAGGACCGGCUAAUUCCGUGCCAGCCGCCGC